RNAcentral lists this unclassified non-coding RNA (344 nucleotides) under soil metagenome. RNAcentral describes it as "partial contains 5.8S ribosomal RNA, internal transcribed spacer 2, and large subunit ribosomal RNA". The stretch from base 1 to 119 matches the Rfam family "5.8S ribosomal RNA", at positions 35 to 154 of the family's 154-position model. The record is from RNAcentral.
GAUGAAGAACGUAGCGAAAUGCGAUACGUAAUGUGAAUUGCAAAUUCAGUGAAUCAUCGAGUCUUUGAACGCACAUUGCGCCCCCUGGUAUUCCGGGGGGCAUGCCUGUCCGAGCGUCAUUGCUGCCCUCAAGCACGGCUUGUGUGUUGGGCCCCGUCCUCCGAUUCCGGGGGACGGGCCCGAAAGGCAGCGGCGGCACCGCGUCCGGUCCUCGAGCGUAUGGGGCUUUGUCACCCGCUCUGUAGGCCCGGCCGGCGCUUGCCGAUCAACCCAAAUUUUUAUCCAGGUUGACCUCGGAUCAGGUAGGGAUACCCGCUGAACUUAAGCAUAUCAAUAAGCGGAGG